RNAcentral lists this ribosomal RNA (514 nucleotides) under uncultured bacterium. RNAcentral's name for it is "partial 16S ribosomal RNA". It matches the Rfam family "Bacterial small subunit ribosomal RNA", at positions 28 to 523 of the family's 1533-position model. The record is from RNAcentral.
GACGAACGCUGGCGGCGUGCCUAAUACAUGCAAGUCGAGCGGAUGAAAGAGGAGCUUGCUCCUCUAGAUUCAGCGGCGGACGGGUGAGUAACACGUGGGCAACCUGCCCUGUAGAUUGGGAUAACUCCGGGAAACCGGGGCUAAUACCGAAUAAUCCUUCGGACCUCAUGGUCCGAUGUUGAAAGACGGUUUCGGCUGUCACUACAGGAUGGGCCCGCGGCGCAUUAGCUAGUUGGUGAGGUAACGGCUCACCAAGGCCACGAUGCGUAGCCGACCUGAGAUGGUGAUCGGCCACACUGGGACUGAGACACGGCCCAGACUCCUACGGGAGGCAGCAGUAGGGAAUCUUCCGCAAUGGACGAAAGUCUGAUGGAGCAACGCCGCGUGAGUGAAGAAGGUUCUCGGAUCGUAAAACUCUGUUGUGAGGGAAGAACAAGUACCGGAGUAACCGCCGGUGCCUUGACGGUACCUCAUUAGAAAGCCACGGCUAACUACGUGCCAGCCGCCGCCGUAA